This 97-nucleotide non-coding RNA is filed under the name Streptococcus sp. Its description in RNAcentral is "TPP sequence". It matches the Rfam family "TPP riboswitch aptamer (THI element)". From Rfam's summary of the family: Vitamin B(1) in its active form thiamin pyrophosphate (TPP) is an essential coenzyme that is synthesised by coupling of pyrimidine and thiazole moieties in bacteria. The previously detected thiamin-regulatory element, thi box was extended, resulting in a new, highly conserved RNA secondary structure, the THI element, which is widely distributed in eubacteria and also occurs in some archaea. RNAcentral also lists the same sequence under 1 other name. The record is from RNAcentral. Lineage: Bacteria; Bacillati; Bacillota; Bacilli; Lactobacillales; Streptococcaceae.
AACAUCACAAAGGAGUGCUUCGGCUGAGAUCGCAUCUGCGAAAUCCUCAAAACCUGAUCUCGUUAGGACGAGCGUAGGGAUUGUGACCAUUUGAAAU